Molecule: ribosomal RNA, 425 nt
Filed under: uncultured bacterium
Lineage: Bacteria
Description: bacterial SSU rRNA
Rfam family: Bacterial small subunit ribosomal RNA
Source: RNAcentral
GUGGGGAAUAUUGGACAAUGGGCGCAAGCCUGAUCCAGCCAUGCCGCGUGAGUGAUGAAGGCCCUAGGGUUGUAAAGCUCUUUCACCGAUGAAGAUAAUGACGGUAGUCGGAGAAGAAGCCCCGGCUAACUUCGUGCCAGCAGCCGCGGUAAUACGAAGGGGGCUAGCGUUGUUCGGAAUUACUGGGCGUAAAGCGCACGUAGGCGGAUAUUUAAGUCAGGGGUGAAAUCCCAGAGCUCAACUCUGGAACUGCCUUUGAUACUGGGUAUCUCGAGUAUGGAAGAGGUGAGUGGAAUUCCGAGUGUAGAGGUGAAAUUCGUAGAUAUUCGGAGGAACACCAGUGGCAAAGGCGGCUCACUGGUCCAUUACUGACGCUGAGGUGCGAAAGCGUGGGGAGCAAACAGGAUUAGAUACCCGUGUAGUCC